This 253-nucleotide ribosomal RNA is filed under the name uncultured bacterium. RNAcentral's name for it is "partial 16S ribosomal RNA". It matches the Rfam family "Bacterial small subunit ribosomal RNA", at positions 524 to 776 of the family's 1533-position model. The record is from RNAcentral.
UACAGAGGUGGCAAGCGUUGUUCGGAAUUACUGGGCGUAAAGGGCGCGUAGGCGGCCUUCUAAGUCAGACGUGAAAUCCCUCGGCUCAACCGAGGAACUGCGUCUGAUACUGGAAGGCUUGAAUCCGGGAGAGGGAUGUGGAAUUCCAGGUGUAGCGGUGAAAUGCGUAGAUAUCUGGAGGAACACCGGUGGCGAAGGCGGCAUCCUGGACCGGUAUUGACGCUGAGGCGCGAAAGCUAGGGGAGCAAACAGG